GUCACUUUGCCGGAGUGGUUAACGGGAUCGCCUGCUACCAAGCAUUCAGCGGUUGCACUUUGUGCGCGAGUGUUCGAAUCGCUCAGGUGACG
Arthromyces matolae is the source of this 92-nucleotide non-coding RNA. NCBI's taxonomy places the organism in Eukaryota, Fungi, Basidiomycota, Agaricomycetes, Agaricales, Lyophyllaceae. The record is from the annotation of a GenBank genome assembly.